Molecule: ribosomal RNA, 508 nt
Filed under: uncultured bacterium
Lineage: Bacteria
Description: bacterial SSU rRNA
Rfam family: Bacterial small subunit ribosomal RNA
Source: RNAcentral
UGGGGAAUAUUGCACAAUGGGCGCAAGCCUGAUGCAGCGACGCCGCGUGAGGGAUGACGGCCUUCGGGUUGUAAACCUCUUUCAGUAGGGAAGAAGGCCUUCGGGUUGACGGUACCUGCAGAAGAAGCGCCGGCUAACUACGUGCCAGCAGCCGCGGUAAUACGUAGGGCGCAAGCGUUGUCCGGAAUUAUUGGGCGUAAAGAGCUCGUAGGCGGUUUGUCGCGUCUGCUGUGAAAACGCGAGGCUUAACCUCGCGCCUGCAGUGGGUACGGGCAGACUAGAGUGCGGUAGGGGAGACUGGAAUUCCUGGUGUAGCGGUGGAAUGCGCAGAUAUCAGGAGGAACACCGGUGGCGAAGGCGGGUCUCUGGGCCGUUACUGACGCUGAGGAGCGAAAGCAUGGGGAGCGAACAGGAUUAGAUACCCUGGUAGUCCAUGCCGUAAACGUUGGGCACUAGGUGUGGGACCCAUUCCACGGGUUCCGUGCCGCAGCUAACGCAUUAAGKGCCC